CACUCCUACGGGAGGCAGCAGUGGGGAAUAUUGGACAAUGGGCGCAAGCCUGAUCCAGCCCUGCCGCGUGAGUGAUGAAGGCCCUAGGGUUGUAAAGCUCUUUCACCGGUGAAGAUAAUGACGGUAACCGGAGAAGAAGCCCCGACUAACUUCGUGCCAGCAGCCGCGGUAAUACGAAGGGGGCUAGCGUUGUUCGGAUUUACUGGGCGUAAAGCGCACGUAGGCGGACUAUUAAGUCAGGGGUGAAAUCCCGGGGCUCAACCCCGGAACUGCCUUUGAUACUGGUAGUCUUGAGUUCGAGAGAGGUGAGUGGAAUUCCGAGUGGAGAGGUGAAAUUCGUAGAUAGUCGGAGGAACACCAGUGGCGAAGGCGGCUCACUGGCUCGAUACUGACGCUUAGGUGCGAAAGCGUGGGGAGCAAACAGGAUUAGAUACCCCUGUAGUCCC
RNAcentral lists this ribosomal RNA (446 nucleotides) under uncultured organism. RNAcentral describes it as "partial 16S ribosomal RNA". It matches the Rfam family "Bacterial small subunit ribosomal RNA", at positions 334 to 797 of the family's 1533-position model. The record is from RNAcentral.